This 67-nucleotide transfer RNA is filed under the name Lepidothrix coronata (blue-crowned manakin). RNAcentral describes it as "tRNA-Cys". Lineage: Eukaryota; Metazoa; Chordata; Aves; Passeriformes; Pipridae. The record is from RNAcentral.
GAUUCUGUAGUGAAGUUCAUGUUGAGUUGCAAGCUCAUUGAUGUGCAUUAGAUAUGCGCCGGGAUCU